Molecule: unclassified non-coding RNA, 329 nt
Filed under: soil metagenome
Description: partial contains 5.8S ribosomal RNA, internal transcribed spacer 2, and large subunit ribosomal RNA
Rfam family: 5.8S ribosomal RNA (bases 1-120)
Source: RNAcentral
GAUGAAGAACGCAGCGAAAUGCGAUAAGUAGUGUGAAUUGCAGAAUUCAGUGAAUCAUCGAAUCUUUGAACGCACAUUGCGCCCCUUGGUAUCCCGAGGGGCAUGCCUGUUCGAGCGUCAUUUCACCACUCAAGCCUGGCUUGGUGUUGGGCGACGUCCCCUUUAGGGACGCGCCUCGAAACGCUCGGCGGCGUGGCACCGGCUUUAAGCGUAGCAGAAUCUUUCGCUUUGGAAGUCGGGGCCCCGUCUGCCGGAAGACCUACUCGCAAGGUUGACCUCGGAUCAGGCAGGGAUACCCGCUGAACUUAAGCAUAUCAAUAAGCGGAGGA